GCAGGGUCUUUGAUUGCGGCGGCGGUGAAGCAGUACGCUAGCGAGAACGAAGGAGGAGGAGCGAAGUCGAAGAGGAAUUCGAGACGGCGGCGGUUAACUAGCGAUCAGAGAAGAGGCGGAAGAAGAUUUUUCACCGAUUAUGGAAACUGUUGGAGCGGAGAGAGCGAGAACGGUGGCGGCGGCGCCGGAGGAGGGAUGGUGGUUAUUACACGGCCGAAAGGAGGGAACCGAUCUCUGUGUAUGGAUUUGGGAGAAGUGAAGGC
Molecule: long non-coding RNA, 263 nt
Filed under: Linum usitatissimum (flax)
Lineage: Eukaryota; Viridiplantae; Streptophyta; Magnoliopsida; Malpighiales; Linaceae
Description: long non-coding RNA (LUSI_LNC000672)
Source: RNAcentral